Amphimedon queenslandica is the source of this 164-nucleotide long non-coding RNA. RefSeq lists it as uncharacterized. The record is from RefSeq and is a predicted model, not a curated record. Lineage: Eukaryota; Metazoa; Porifera; Demospongiae; Haplosclerida; Niphatidae. The transcript has 2 exons.
UGAUUUAUUUGUUCAUUAAUUUUUUAUAAAUGUGUUACUGGCACUAGAUUAAAGGUGGAUCUGUAUUUUAAGUGUGAAAACUGCUUAUGGUCCUACUUGUGCAAAUAGAGUAUCGAAGAGUAAAAGUAAAAGCGCAUUCUCUAUCUCAGGAUUUAAAUAAAGAA